GGGUCCCUGUCUCGGGGAGUCGGGACUAUUGGGUCACCCCGGGUAGUCGAGACUCUAGACUGAGCUGUCUCGGUCACUCAGGAGGCAGUUGGCAGAGUAUUCGUGGUCAGGGAGGUGACCCGUGGUCAGCAGGGUCAGGCCACCCAGGGACAAAGGGUGCUCCUGCACCGGGCCUUGGAGAAGGACAGAGCGGUGGGGACUUGGGGUCAGCGGGGGAGCCUCCGCGGAUGGGGAGUCACCACCUGCCGGGUAAGAGGGGACUCAUCACAGGGGCCGGAGCAAGACAAGCCCUCCCUCCCGGCUCAGGCCGGGUCCCAGGCUGGACCCCUCCCUGUCUCACAGGGCCGGCCUCCUUCGGAGCUGGCUGGGAUGGAAAGGGGAAGUAGGAGGAGCUCAGGACACAGGGAUUGGGGCCGAUCCUGGGGUCUGAGCUGUGGGGUGAGGAGGGGAUCGCCUGUCCCCUGGGGAGUGACGAUGUCACCCAGCCGUGGCCGUUGCGGAGGUCAUGAUCUGAACCUUGACAGCAAUCAGCCAUGACUGCCUUUGCACUGUCCAUGCUCUCAGCCCACCACCUCCUCCCCCUGCCAUUGCAGUGGCUAACACUGGAGACGAAGACCAAGACACCACAGCCUUUCUCCAGUACCUCUCAAAUCAGCACAGACAAGGACAAAGGCCUCAAUCCACAACUGCUGAAGAUGGACCCUGGCCACAUGGGAUGGUCAGACACGCCUGCCCAGCUAUCUGCAGGCGAAGAGGCUCAGAAGAGGUUUAGGGGCCUGAAGGACAUCUUGCUUCCAUGUCCAUAUGAGCAGGCUAUUUCUGCUCCAUGAGUCAAUUUUGCCAUAUAAAAUACUUAAUUUCAGCCAUUCCAGGGUGCUAUAGGAUGCACAGCUUCCCAUCAGCCCACCUGAACUCCAGCCAUGCCAUUUUAAUACCAGGAAUAAGGUCACCUGCUUUCCUGCCCCUUAGGAGGCCGGAGCCGUGGAAGCAAAAUGGCACUUCUGUUUACCUGUUAUAUUAUUUUUUUGUCAUCCUUAUAUGUUUGAAAAAUGCAAUUAUAUGAAAAAAGUUUAGUAAUUACAGACAUAACAGCAGAAAGUCCUCGGAACCAAGCUUAUUCUCAUGGCCGAUUCUGCUCCACCUGGGACUCUGCUGUGCUGCGGGCAUCCUGUGGUCAGAAUCGCAGAGGGGCCAUCAGGGAGGACCUUCCCAGAGGAUGGACCUCACGUGACUGCUGCGUGGGCAAGUGGCACUGGCCACUCUGCCUGGAGAGAGGAGUAAAUGCAGGGCUGGCCAGGCGACCUGCACACUCUGC
RNAcentral lists this long non-coding RNA (1315 nucleotides) under Homo sapiens (human). Its description in RNAcentral is "HSALNT0399402". Lineage: Eukaryota; Metazoa; Chordata; Mammalia; Primates; Hominidae. The record is from RNAcentral.